Molecule: ribosomal RNA, 770 nt
Filed under: Bacillus sp. RSBAUOCAS0013B
Lineage: Bacteria; Bacillati; Bacillota; Bacilli; Caryophanales; Bacillaceae
Description: bacterial SSU rRNA
Rfam family: Bacterial small subunit ribosomal RNA
Source: RNAcentral
AGCGAAUGGAUUAAGAGCUUGCUCUUAUGAAGUUAGCGGCGGACGGGUGAGUAACACGUGGGUAACCUGCCCAUAAGACUGGGAUAACUCCGGGAAACCGGGGCUAAUACCGGAUAACAUUUUGAACCGCAUGGUUCGAAAUUGAAAGGCGGCUUCGGCUGUCACUUAUGGAUGGACCCGCGUCGCAUUAGCUAGUUGGUGAGGUAACGGCUCACCAAGGCAACGAUGCGUAGCCGACCUGAGAGGGUGAUCGGCCACACUGGGACUGAGACACGGCCCAGACUCCUACGGGAGGCAGCAGUAGGGAAUCUUCCGCAAUGGACGAAAGUCUGACGGAGCAACGCCGCGUGAGUGAUGAAGGCUUUCGGGUCGUAAAACUCUGUUGUUAGGGAAGAACAAGUGCUAGUUGAAUAAGCUGGCACCUUGACGGUACCUAACCAGAAAGCCACGGCUAACUACGUGCCAGCAGCCGCGGUAAUACGUAGGUGGCAAGCGUUAUCCGGAAUUAUUGGGCGUAAAGCGCGCGCAGGUGGUUUCUUAAGUCUGAUGUGAAAGCCCACGGCUCAACCGUGGAGGGUCAUUGGAAACUGGGAGACUUGAGUGCAGAAGAGGAAAGUGGAAUUCCAUGUGUAGCGGUGAAAUGCGUAGAGAUAUGGAGGACACCAGUGGCGAGGCGACUUUCUGGUCUGUAACUGACACUGAGGCGCGAAAGCGUGGGGAGCAACAGGAUUAGAUACCCUGGUAGUUCCACGCCGUAAACGAUGAUGCUA